This 1351-nucleotide ribosomal RNA is filed under the name marine metagenome. RNAcentral's name for it is "bacterial LSU rRNA". It matches the Rfam family "Bacterial large subunit ribosomal RNA", at positions 992 to 2447 of the family's 2925-position model. The record is from RNAcentral.
UGGGUGCUAGGUCCAUGUCCGAGAGGGAAAGAACCCAGACCAUCAGCUAAGGUCCCAAAGUGUAUGCUAAGUUGAAUAAACGAGGUUUGACUGCCCAGACAGCUAGGAUGUUGGCUUGGAAGCAGCCAUUCAUUUAAAGAGUGCGUAACAGCUCACUAGUCGAGCGGUCGAGCAUGGAUAAUAAUCGGGCAUAAGCAUAUCACCGAAGCUAUGGCAUCGAAAGAUGGGUAGGGGAGCAUUGUAGCGACGUUGAAGGUAAACUGUGAGGUUUGCUGGAGUUUCUACAAAAGAAAAUGUAGGCAUAAGUAACGAUAAUGCGGGCGAGAAACCCGCACACCGAAAGACUAAGGUUUCCUCAGCUAUGCUAAUCAGCUGAGGGUUAGUCGGGACCUAACGCGAACCCGAAAGGGGUAGUGGAUGGACAACAGGUUAAUAUUCCUGUACCUGCUCUCAUUAAAAGUGACGGAUAGCCCAGAUAUCUACGUGGUGACGGAAGUCCACGUUGAGCAUAGCCUUCGGGCGAAGCGAAGAUAAGUAAGCUGUUCCAAGAAAAGCGAGAGAAGCAGCCCGUACCGUAAACCGACACAGGUAGUUGGGAUGAGUAUUCUAAGGUGCUCGAGAGAUUCAUGGCUAAGGAACUAGGCAAAAUCGACCCGUAACUUCGGGAGAAGGGUCGCCACGUUUCGACGUGGCCGCAGUGAAAAGAUCCAGGCGACUGUUUAUCAAAAACACAGGACUCUGCUAAAUCGAAAGAUGACGUAUAGGGUCUGACACCUGCCCGGUGCCGGAAGGUUAAGUGGAGUUGUUAGCUUCGGCAAAGCAAUCAAAUGAAGCCCCGGUAAACGGCGGCCGUAACUAUAACGGUCCUAAGGUAGCGAAAUUCCUUGUCGGGUAAGUUCCGACCUGCACGAAUGGUGCAACGAUCUGGAUACUGUCUCGGCCAUGAGCUCGGUGAAAUUGUAGUAUCGGUGAAGAUGCCGAUUACCCGCUACGGGACGAAAAGACCCCGUGCACCUUUACUAUAGCUUCGUAUUGACUUUGGAUAAAUAAUGUGUAGGAUAGGUGGGAGACUUUGAAGCAGCAUCGCUAGGUGUUGUGGAGUCACCCUUGAAAUACCACCCUUUAUUUAUCUAGAGCCUAAUCUGUUUACAGAGACAGUGCGUGGUGGGUAGUUUGACUGGGGUGGUCGCCUCCAAAAGAGUAACGGAGGCUUCUAAAGGUACCCUCAGCACGCUUGGUAACCGUGCGUAGAGUGCAAUGGCAUAAGGGUGCUUGACUGAGAGACCUACAAGUCGAUCAGGUACGAAAGUAGAGCAUAGUGAUCCGGUGGUUCCGCAUGGAAGGGCCAUCG